AGAACAUGAUGAUAGAAUUAUAGACAAACUUUAACAAAAGCUGCCUGAGAGUUUACAACUUUUUAUGUUAAAUUUCUUCGGUAAUUUAAUGAGUUAUCAGCAAAAAUCAAGUGUUCAUUUGAUGAACUUCAUUUCCUAAAAACAUCCAGAAUUGGAGCUCAUAUCUUUGGCAGCUGUAAAGUUUCUGCUCCUUCAAAGUUCACAACACAAUGAAUGAAUUCCUAAAACACUCUCAAUGCUGUAGAACGUUUGAUGCUGAAGCAGUGACCAGUUUUUCUGUUUCUUCUCUGGAGAUGCACAAUGAGGGACGUCUGCAGAGACUGAGAAAGAGUCUCACCACAUCCUGACAUGAGGAAAAAGACUUCAUUGAAGACUACAAUGAGAAAAACUAUCAGACAGCAGACGGCUGCAUUCAAGUCUGUAGCUGCUGAAUUCAUGGAUGAAUCAUCUGGUACUAGAGAGGAAGACCAUCAAACAUCCACGUCAGCUGAUGGAGGUCCAAGAGUCUCACCCAACAAACGACCUACAGAGUGAAGACCUCCAAUCUGAUUGGACGGCCUCCUAUUCAGCCACGUGCUGUUAGAUUGUUCCAGAUAAGACAAGUACAAGAUUCUUCAGAGCCGUUCUACCACGAGC
Long non-coding RNA from Amphiprion ocellaris (clown anemonefish), 636 nucleotides. NCBI's taxonomy places the organism in Eukaryota, Metazoa, Chordata, Actinopteri, Pomacentridae. The record is from Ensembl.